Long non-coding RNA from Saccostrea cuccullata (small rock oyster), 282 nucleotides. RefSeq lists it as uncharacterized. The transcript is spliced from 3 exons. NCBI's taxonomy places the organism in Eukaryota, Metazoa, Mollusca, Bivalvia, Ostreida, Ostreidae. The record is from RefSeq and is a predicted model, not a curated record.
GUAUUUCUUCAUGAGUGCAAAUAUUAUAUCAAUAUGAGGAAAGAACUUCACAUGUCAUGUGUAAAAAUGGUUCACCCUUCUUAUUAAGUGAUAUAUCAGAAUUUAAAAGAUUAGUAUCCCAAAACAACUGACUGUGUUCGGAGAAAUUAUCGUAGCAUAUAUUUUAAUGGUAUUCAGGAGAAUAUUUAUUCGAGAAUGCGCUCUGCAAUGAUCUUCACGACACUCUUAUUGUUUAUUUUAAUUAGGAAAGUGAUAUCUGAUUGUGGAGACACUGCUGCUGAU